GUAGGAGCCACUUGCACAAAGAAGGAGGUCAGGGGAGUAAGCAGUCCACACGGUGAGCAAAAGCCAUAUUGCAGAAAGGAGAGUUCAGUUCCUCGCAGGCUGAGCUGGGCUGGGCCAGAGCUCCCAGAGGGAGAGAAGGAUAGGAAUUAAGAGAACGAGAGAAAUGGGAUUCUCAGAAAUCUUAUCAGCUCCCCAAAAGAGGGAAAAGAGCAAGAGCUCAGUAUGAAAGCAAAAUGAGCACUUACUGGAGCGCCUCUCUUCUGCAUUCUGAGCGUCAGGCCUGUAGUGCGGGGACUGACGAGACCUCUCUGGAGUGGAAAAGCGGUCCCGACUCACUGCGCCACCGGACGACCCUGCCGUGUGCUCCACUUCAUACUCCAGCUCCACCUCCUCAUCGGCGUUGAGGCUGCUGGUUGCUGCCUCCAGUCCCCCCGAGUCUCUUCAAAGGCCCAAAGUGGAGUUAUGAACUUGAAGCCACAGAAGAACCCCUGUGUGGCAUGUGAAGGAGUGCUCACCCGCCAGAGCCCCUUUUGGAGUUGGGAGUGAUCUCUGGUCAUUGAUAAAGAUGUUAAAUAACGUAGGGCCAAGAACCGAUCCCUGCGGGACUCCACUGGAAACAGACCCACUCAAUGAGGAUUCCCUGUUUAUAGUUGCAUUUUGAGACCUACCAUUUAGCCAAUUUUUAAUCCAUUUAAUGUGUGCCAUGUAACACUUUAUAUUGUUCUAGUUUUUUUUAAUCAAAAUGUCAUGCAGUACCAAGUCAAAUGCUUUACAGAAGCCUAUUAUGUCAACACUAUUACUUUAUCAACCAG
Caretta caretta (loggerhead turtle) is the source of this 812-nucleotide long non-coding RNA. RefSeq lists it as uncharacterized. NCBI's taxonomy places the organism in Eukaryota, Metazoa, Chordata, Testudines, Cheloniidae. The record is from RefSeq and is a predicted model, not a curated record.